GUGGGAGUAAAUGAUGAAGAAUUCAUCUUUAGUAAAACCAUAGCCCAAAGCUUAAAGCUUUCAUGUUUGAGUAUGCCACUAUCCAUUUGGGAGCAAAGGAGCUAUUUGAAUUUUCAUCUUCUAGAAAAAAUUAUAAACCCUUACCACAUAGGGUUAUUUGUAUGCAUUCUGAUAUAUAUCUCGAAAUCCUUGAAGUUUCUUGUUGUGAUUGGCCAUCUUCCAUUGCUAGAAGAGAGUCUUUGAGGAUACAAGCAGCCUUAGAGGUCAAGUCCAACACAAGCAUUUCCUGCCUCUGAUAACAUUUGACUCUUUCUUUUCGAGUUGUCACGACAUUGCAGAACAUUGGUGCUGAGAAUAGUGACAAUGCCUUAUAAUAAAGUAUUUUGGUUGUGAACUUGGAGCACAUGAAACUUCAAAACUUGUAGGGCUUCUUGAGGACUUCAUCAAGAAACUAAGCAUUGGUUGUUGUAUCAAAGUCUUUUCAUCUUGAUAAUCAAUACUUGAGCUAAUCUUCCAUUGAAAUUGCGUGAGGAAAUAAGAAUGAACAAUGAUAUAAAUGUACUCUUCUUUGGAAAUGCUUUCGGAACUCUCCAAGAAUAAUUGUCUUGGUUGAUUUGAUACUGCCAAGACCCAAAACAAAUGCACAAGAUAGAAGCG
This 657-nucleotide long non-coding RNA is filed under the name Lupinus angustifolius (narrow-leaved blue lupine). RNAcentral describes it as "long non-coding RNA (LANG_LNC001222)". Lineage: Eukaryota; Viridiplantae; Streptophyta; Magnoliopsida; Fabales; Fabaceae. The record is from RNAcentral.